Molecule: ribosomal RNA, 1366 nt
Filed under: metagenome
Description: bacterial LSU rRNA
Rfam family: Bacterial large subunit ribosomal RNA
Source: RNAcentral
AAACCGUGUGGCAAUCCAAAGGCGUGAUGCGGACCGAAUCAAAGUAGGGAAGUGUGUGAGCCAUGAAUCAAGAAAAGCCGCUAUUGUUUUUAAGAUACCCGUACCGUAAACCGACACAGGUGGAUGAGGAGAGAAUCCUAAGGCCGGCGGAAGAAGCAUUGUUAAGGAACUCGGCAAAAUGACCCCGUAACUUCGGGAGAAGGGGUGCCAACGAGAGUUGGCCGCAGAGAAUAGGCUCAAGCAACUGUUUAGCAAAAACACAGGUCUAUGCAAAACCGUAAGGUGAGGUAUAUGGGCUGACGCCUGCCCGGUGCUGGAAGGUUAAGGGGAGAGGUUAGCGCAAGCGAAGCUUUGAAUUUAAGCCCCAGUAAACGGCGGCCGUAACAAUAACGGUCCUAAGGUAGCGAAAUUCCUUGUCGGGUAAGUUCCGACCCGCACGAAAGGCGUAAUGAUUUGAGCGCUGUCUCGACAAUGCAUCCGGUGAAAUUGAAGUACCAGUGAAGAUGCUGGUUACCCGCGCCAGGACGGAAAGACCCCAUGUAGCUUUACUCCAGUUUGGUACUGGGGUCCGGCAGUGCAUGUACAGGAUAGGUGGGAGGCUGUGAACCUGGAACGCCAGUUUCAGGGGAGCCAUUGUUGGGAUACCACCCUUGUGCUGCUGGGCUUCUAACCAGCGGCCUUUAUCAGGCCGGGGGACAAUGCCAGACGGGGAGUUUGACUGGGGCGGUCGCCUCCGAAAGGGUAUCGGAGGCGCUCAAAGGUUCCCUCAGAAUGGUCGGAAACCAUUCGAAGAGUGCAAAGGCAGAAGGGAGCUUGACUGCGACACCGACGGGUGGAGCAGGUACGAAAGUAGGACUUAGUGAUCCGGUGGUAUUAAGUGGGAAUGCCAUCGCUCAACGGAUAAAAGCUACCCUGGGAUAACAGGCUUAUCACUCCCAAGAGUUCACAUCGACGGAGUGGUUUGGCACCUCGAUGUCGGCUCAUCGCAUCCUGGGGCUGUAGUAGGUCCCAAGGGUUGGGCUGUUCGCCCAUUAAAGCGGUACGCGAGCUGGGUUCAGAACGUCGUGAGACAGUUCGGUCCCUAUCCGGCGUGGGCGUAGGAUAUUUGAGAGGAGCUGUCCUUAGUACGAGAGGACCGGGAUGGACUGACCUCUGGUGUACCGGUUGAACCGCCAGGUUCACGGCCGGGUAGCCAAGUCGGGAAGGGAUAAACGCUGAAGGCAUCUAAGCGUGAAGCCCCCCUCAAGAUGAGAUAUCCCAUUCGAAAGAAGUAAGACCCCUUGAAGACGACGAGGUAGAUAGGGCAGAGGUGGAAGUGCCGUAAGGCAUGGAGCUGACUGUUACUAAUCGGUCGAGGGCUUGACAG